Molecule: ribosomal RNA, 465 nt
Filed under: uncultured bacterium
Lineage: Bacteria
Description: partial 16S ribosomal RNA
Rfam family: Bacterial small subunit ribosomal RNA
Source: RNAcentral
CCUACGGGUGGCAGCAGUAGGGAAUCUUCCACAAUGGGCGAAAGCCUGAUGGAGCAACGCCGCGUGGGUGAAGAAGGUCUUCGGAUCGUAAAACCCUGUUGUUAGAGAAGAAAGUGCGUGAGAGUAACUGUUCACGUUUCGACGGUAUCUAACCAGAAAGCCACGGCUAACUACGUGCCAGCAGCCGCGGUAAGACGUAGGUGGCAAGCGUUAUCCGGUUUUAUUGGGCGUAAAGGGAACGCAGGCGGUCUUUUAAGUCUGAUGUGAAAGCCUUCGGCUUAACCGGAGUAGUGCAUUGGAAACUGGGAGACGUGAGUGCAGAAGAGGAGAGUGGAACUCGAUGUGUAGCGGUGAAAUGCAUAGAUAUAUGGAAGAACACCAGUGGCGAAAGCAGCUCUCUGGUCUGUAACUGACGCUGAGGUUCGAAAGCGUGGGUAGCAAACAGGAUUAGAUACCCGUGUAGUC